AAGAAAUGUUUAAUGGCAUGCUUAAGAAACUGGUUGGAGUCUAUGUCAUGUUCUCUACUGCUUCAGGGUGGAGAGACUUCUUAUGACAUUCUUGAGGGUCAAACGCUGUGGUGCCCAGCACAUCAGAAGGGCACCACCCACAAACAAUGUGCUUGAGGACAGACUUUGUAGGGAUGCUAUAAACUGGUUGGAGGACAUGAUUCCUUUUACAACGAAAAUGUGAGAAGACUGUCUUACCGAGAUGGCAUGUGGAUAUUGAUGGAAAUCGCCUUGUUUGUAGGCAAAAAACAACUCAAAACAAAACCAAAUAAACAAACAGAAAUAACAACAGCAAAGAAAGUACAGUCUGAGCAAGAGAAGAGAAAGUCCGCAGGACAGGACAGCAAUGUAAACAGAACAAUACUGUUUUUAAAAAAGGAGGAGUAUGAACUUCAGCAAGCUGAAAGGAACUCUCAUGAUCACCUUCUAGAAUGAUCGAAAUGACCUGCCGGUUCAAAGUCACCCUGACGUGUCCCGUGGGACGAAAACUAAAUACUGACAGCAAGAAAACUGGCUUUGACUCGGAGGCAAGUGUCCCUACAGCCCCUGAGCUCUGGGCAGGCCGCUGUUCCUUUCAGCUCACUUUCACAGAUGGUAGUCUCAGCUGUGACAGGACCUCUGCCAUCCAAGUGAUGGGUAAGCAGACAAACAGAAAGAGCAGCGUGUCCUGUGUGAUACAGACAACCAAGGCUUCUCCAGAGGACGUGCAGUCAGUGAAGACACAGACAGAGAAGAAGUGAAAGGGAAAGUCGUGGAGGGCGGCCGCCUCCUCCUCGCCACCUACCAUCGGCUUUAGCUCUCGGGCAUCCGCAGCACCUCCUUUGCCGGCUUCUUUCAUAGCUUUCCUACUGUUUUCCACAAACUCCUGCAAAACACAGAGCGCACGGCAUUAACUGGGGAUCUUCUUAGGUUUCAGUCAGUAGGUGAACUUUAAGGAUCCAACCUUAGUGUGGUCAACAGUACUCUGAAAAUUGGCUGGGAUGGAUUGCAAUCCAUAGAUAUAAAACCUUCCAUCCAUC
Molecule: long non-coding RNA, 1058 nt
Filed under: Mus caroli (Ryukyu mouse)
Lineage: Eukaryota; Metazoa; Chordata; Mammalia; Rodentia; Muridae
Description: lncRNA (MGP_CAROLIEiJ_G0003508.1)
Source: RNAcentral